AAAACACUUGAUGUCAAAAUACCACGGCUUCUCAUCUUCGAUUUCUUUAAUAGCAAACACAUGAGUUGGCCUAUCAAGACGCAUUACAGUCAAAUUGGGAACUUCAUUCCAAUACUUCACCAUAAUCAUUGAAGCCAACGUUGCAAGAGCAUCUUCCAUCCGGUUUUCAUCUCGAGGGAUGUGAUGAAACUCAACCUUCGUAAAGAAAGUUGA
Molecule: long non-coding RNA, 213 nt
Filed under: Lathyrus oleraceus (garden pea)
Lineage: Eukaryota; Viridiplantae; Streptophyta; Magnoliopsida; Fabales; Fabaceae
Description: Pisum sativum (pea) long non-coding RNA (PSAT_LNC039254)
Source: RNAcentral